Molecule: ribosomal RNA, 406 nt
Filed under: uncultured bacterium
Lineage: Bacteria
Description: partial 16S ribosomal RNA
Rfam family: Bacterial small subunit ribosomal RNA
Source: RNAcentral
AUUGAACGCUGGCGGCAGGCUUAACACAUGCAAGUCGAGCGAGCGGCGGACGGGUUACUAAUGUCUGGGAAACUGCCUGGUGGAGGGGGAUAACUACUGGGAAAGGUAACUAAUACCGCAUACCAUCACCUGUGCCCCGGUGGGAUUUGCUAGUAGGUGGGGUAAUGGCUCACCUAGGCGACGAUCCCUAGCUGGUCUGAGAGGAUGACCAGCCACACUGGAACUGAGACACGGUCCAGACUCCUACGGGAGGCAGCAGUGGGGAAUAGUGCACAAUGGGCGCAAGCCUGAUGCAGCCAUGCCGCGUGUGUGAAGAAGGCCUUCGGGUUGUAAAGCACUUUCAGCGAGGAGGCGUUACUCGCAGAAGAAGCACCGGCUAACUCCGUGCCAGCAGCCGCGGUAAUUC